This is a small nucleolar RNA of Phyllostomus discolor (pale spear-nosed bat), 104 nucleotides long. RefSeq annotates it as small nucleolar RNA U13. The transcript has a single exon. The record is from RefSeq and is a predicted model, not a curated record. Lineage: Eukaryota; Metazoa; Chordata; Mammalia; Chiroptera; Phyllostomidae.
AUCCUUUUGUAGUUCAUAAGUGUGAUGAUUGGGUGUUCAUGUUCUUGUGUGAUAUUUGCCUCCCACAAACUUUGUUACAAUAUCGGCACAUUACCCAUCUGACA